Molecule: small RNA, 328 nt
Filed under: Chinchilla lanigera (long-tailed chinchilla)
Lineage: Eukaryota; Metazoa; Chordata; Mammalia; Rodentia; Chinchillidae
Description: 7SK RNA (ENSCLAG00000022197.1)
Rfam family: 7SK RNA
About the family: 7SK was discovered as an abundant small nuclear RNA in the mid-70s but a possible function has only recently been suggested. Two independent studies have found that 7SK RNA binds the CDK9/cyclin T complex (known as elongation factor P-TEFb).
Source: Rfam by way of RNAcentral
GGCUGUGAGAGCGAUCUGGCUGUGCAGUCUGCCAUCCUAUUGAUAGCCACAGCUGAUUUGACAGAUCUGGCUGGCUAGGCAGAGGUCUCCCACCUUCCUCACCACUCCAUGUGCAUCGCCUCCAAAAGCUGCAUGCUCUGUCAAAGCAGACCUCAGAUAGAGGAGGACCAUUCCCUGCAUCAAGGGUAUGAGAGUAGCUGCACUCUCCUGCUAGAACCUUCAAACAAGUUCUCAUAAUGUGUUCUGGAGCCUGCCUUUUCCUUGGAUGCUACCCGGCAGCAGCUUUCACCAUAUUUUUUUAUUUAUACUUUAUAAAGACACUUGUAGA